RNAcentral lists this ribosomal RNA (253 nucleotides) under uncultured bacterium. Its description in RNAcentral is "partial 16S ribosomal RNA". It matches the Rfam family "Bacterial small subunit ribosomal RNA", at positions 524 to 776 of the family's 1533-position model. The record is from RNAcentral.
UACAGAGGGUGCGAGCGUUAAUCGGAAUUACUGGGCGUAAAGCGUGCGUAGACGGUAGCGUAAGUCAGAUGUGAAAGCCCCGGGCUCAACCUGGGAAUGGCAUUUGAGACUGCUCUGCUCGGGUGCGGAAGAGGGAAGCGGAAUUUCCGGUGUAGCGGUGAAAUGCGUAGAUAUCGGAAGGAACAUCAGUGGCGAAAGCGGCUUCCUGGACCAGAACUGACGAUCAGGCUCGAAAGCGUGGGGAGCAAACAGG